GAUGAACGCUGGCGGCGUGCCUAAUACAUGCAAGUCGAGCGAACAGAUGAGGAGCUUGCUCCUCUGACGUUAGCGGCGGACGGGUGAGUAACACGUGGAUAACCUACCUAUAAGACUGGGAUAACUUCGGGAAACCGGAGCUAAUACCGGAUAAUAUAUUGAACCGCAUGGUUCAAUAGUGAAAGACGGUUUUGCUGUCACUUAUAGAUGGAUCCGCGCCGCAUUAGCUAGUUGGUAAGGUAACGGCUUACCAAGGCAACGAUGCGUAGCCGACCUGAGAGGGUGAUCGGCCACACUGGAACUGAGACACGGUCCAGACUCCUAUGGGAGGCAGCAGUAGGGAAUCUUCCGCAAUGGGCGAAAGCCUGACGGAGCAACGCCGCGUGAGUGAUGAAGGUCUUCGGAUCGUAAAACUCUGUUAUUAGGGAAGAACAAAUGUGUAAGUAACUAUGCACGUCUUGACGGUACCUAAUCAGAAAGCCACGGCUAACUACGUG
This 497-nucleotide ribosomal RNA is filed under the name uncultured bacterium. Its description in RNAcentral is "partial 16S ribosomal RNA". It matches the Rfam family "Bacterial small subunit ribosomal RNA", at positions 28 to 507 of the family's 1533-position model. The record is from RNAcentral.